UAGGGAAUCUUCCACAAUGGACGCAAGUCUGAUGGAGCAACGCCGCGUGAGUGAAGAAGGUCUUCGGAUCGUAAAGCUCUGUUGUUGGUGAAGAAGGAUAGAGGCAGUAACUGGUCUUUACUUGACGGUAAUCAACCAGAAAGUCACGGCUAACUACGUGCCAGCAGCCGCGGUAAUACGUAGGUGGCAAGCGUUGUCCGGAUUUAUUGGGCGUAAAGCGAGCGCAGGCGGAAUGAUAAGUCUGAUGUGAAAGCCCACGGCUCAACCGUGGAACUGCAUCGGAAACUGUCAUUCUUGAGUGCAGAAGAGGAGAGUGGAACUCCAUGUGUAGCGGUGGAAUGCGUAGAUAUAUGGAAGAACACCAGUGGCGAAGGCGGCUCUCUGGUCUGCAACUGACGCUGAGGCUCGAAAGCAUGGGUAGCGAACAGGAUUAGAUACCCUGGUAGUCCAUGCCGUAAACGAUGAGCGCUAGGUGUUGGGGACUUUCCGGUCCUCAGUGCCGCAGCAAACGCAUUAAGCGCUCCGCCUGGGGAGUACGACCGCAAGGUUGAAAC
This 554-nucleotide ribosomal RNA is filed under the name uncultured bacterium. RNAcentral describes it as "partial 16S ribosomal RNA". It matches the Rfam family "Bacterial small subunit ribosomal RNA", at positions 355 to 900 of the family's 1533-position model. The record is from RNAcentral.